UCGUCAGGUAGGAUAAUUCUUACCUGUUACUCUAUAUGGAGAACAGAUUAGAAAAUGAUGUUUGGAGUUCACAUGAUACAUGAUUAUACGUCUUUGCGUAAUCAGGACUUGCAAUAGGUCUCAUGGUGGCAAAACAGAC
Small nucleolar RNA from Prolemur simus (greater bamboo lemur), 139 nucleotides. Its record names the gene U8. It matches the Rfam family "U8 small nucleolar RNA". Rfam says of the family: U8 is a member of the C/D class of snoRNA which contain the C (UGAUGA) and D (CUGA) box motifs. U8 is the RNA component of a small complex (the U8 snoRNP) which is required for accumulation of mature large subunit ribosomal RNAs, 5.8S and 28S rRNAs. The record is from Ensembl. Lineage: Eukaryota; Metazoa; Chordata; Mammalia; Primates; Lemuridae.